ACGAACGCUGGCGGCGUGCUUCACCCAUGCCAGUCGAACGGAAAGGCCCUGCUUUUGUGGGGUGCUCGAGUGGCGAACGGGUGAGUAACACGUGAGUAACCUGCCCUUGACUUUGGGAUAACUUCAGGAAACUGGGGCUAAUACCGGAUAGGAGCUCCUGCUGCACGGUGGGGGUUGGAAAGUUUCGGCGGUUGGGGAUGGACUCGCGGCUUAUCAGCUUGUUGGUGGGGUAGUGGCUUACCAAGGCUUUGACGGGUAGCCGGCCUGAGAGGGUGACCGGCCACAUUGGGACUGAGAUACGGCCCAGACUCCUACGGGAGGCAGCAGUGGGGAAUAUUGCACAAUGGGCGGAAGCCUGAUGCAGCAACGCCGCGUGCGGGAUGACGGCCUUCGGGUUGUAAACCGCUUUCGCCUGUGACGAAGCGUGAGUGACGGUAAUGGGUAAAGAAGCACCGGCUAACUACGUG
Molecule: ribosomal RNA, 467 nt
Filed under: uncultured bacterium
Lineage: Bacteria
Description: partial 16S ribosomal RNA
Rfam family: Bacterial small subunit ribosomal RNA
Source: RNAcentral